This 119-nucleotide ribosomal RNA is filed under the name Helianthus annuus (common sunflower). The record is from RNAcentral. Lineage: Eukaryota; Viridiplantae; Streptophyta; Magnoliopsida; Asterales; Asteraceae.
GGUUGCGAUCAUACCAGCACUAAUGCACCGGAUCCCAUCAGAACUCCGCAGUUAAGCGUGCUUGGGGGAGAGUAGUACUAGGAUGGGUGACCCCCUGGGAAGUCCUCGUGUUGCAACCC